Molecule: long non-coding RNA, 292 nt
Filed under: Homo sapiens (human)
Lineage: Eukaryota; Metazoa; Chordata; Mammalia; Primates; Hominidae
Description: long non-coding RNA NONHSAT156310.1
Source: RNAcentral
UGGCUGAAUACUAUUCUACUGUAUGUAUGUACCUCAUUUUCUUUAUCCAUUCAUCCACAUGUGGAUGUCUGGGUUGUUUCCAUCUUUAGGCUAUUGUGAAUAAUACUGCUGUGAACAUGGGUGUACAAAUGCCUCUUCAAGACUGUUUUCAGUUUCCUUGAGUCUAUAGCCAGAAGUGGAGUUGCUGGAUCAUAUGGUUCUGACUCAGCAGGUCUGAGGCGGGGCCUGACAUUCUGCACGGCUGGCCUGCUCCGGGCGCUGCUGAUGCUGCUGGUUCCUGGACCACCCUUGA